UGUUGCUUCGGCAGCACGUAUACUAAAACUGGAACGAGACAGAGAUUAGCACGGCUCCUGUGCAAGGAUGACACGCAUGUUCGUGAAGUGUCCCAUAUUUUA
Small nuclear RNA from Phodopus roborovskii (desert hamster), 102 nucleotides. The record is from RefSeq and is a predicted model, not a curated record. Lineage: Eukaryota; Metazoa; Chordata; Mammalia; Rodentia; Cricetidae.